UGGGCGUUUGUGAAUGGCUUUUGGAGCUGGUUUGUGUUUAUGAUGCAGAUGGGGUUGAUGAUGGUGGUGUAGCAGUUUGUUAAGAUGGAACUCUCCUUGAUUCUGUUCUUGGCUAGAUUGGAAAACCAAUUAUAACAUGGACUAGGAAAAAAAUCAACCUGUCUAAGGGCUAUAGUUGAUUGGGUUUCAGCAACUUCUCAUGAAGACUUUGUGUUUGGCUCUUGAAAUUUUGUACUGAGGCAUAUAUUAUAUACUGUUAAGCAGUAUCUAGUAGGCACAGAUAUAAGCAACUAGUUUGUAGAACUUAAGAAGAGUAGUUUAUACCAUUUAUCAAAUACAUAGGAUAUGGAGAUGCUAGUUUCACCUCAAGGACAAAAGCACAAUAUUCAAGUUCAGGCUCGGAAAUUUUCACCUGGUGGUUCUAACAAAGAUCUUUCGCUUAUUGUGCGAGAAGGGUCCUUGG
This 463-nucleotide unclassified non-coding RNA is filed under the name Hevea brasiliensis (rubber tree). The record is from RNAcentral. Lineage: Eukaryota; Viridiplantae; Streptophyta; Magnoliopsida; Malpighiales; Euphorbiaceae.